UAACCCCUGCUGUGUGCGUGUGGUAUCGCAGUUUUGAGCCAACAGAUUAUAUUCGGGAAUCCGGACUCUCGUAGUGGCGCUACGCCCGUGAGGGACAGUAAUAUUACGAGGAGGAUACCCACCUGCCCAUGCAGGAUCAAAACACGGUACAUAUACGGCAUGGUGGGGCUCUU
This 173-nucleotide non-coding RNA is filed under the name Veillonella sp. RNAcentral's name for it is "6S RNA". It matches the Rfam family "6S / SsrS RNA". From Rfam's summary of the family: E. coli 6S RNA was the first non coding RNA to be sequenced, but its function was unknown until recently. It consists of 184 nucleotides that fold into an extended hairpin structure with a large single-stranded internal bulge. The 6S RNA specifically associates with RNA polymerase holoenzyme containing the sigma70 specificity factor. The record is from RNAcentral. Lineage: Bacteria; Bacillati; Bacillota; Negativicutes; Veillonellales; Veillonellaceae.